UGGGGAAUAUUGCACAAUGGGCGCAAGCCUGAUGCAGCCAUGCCGCGUGUGUGAAGAAGGCCUUCGGGUUGUAAAGCACUUUCAGCGGGGAGGAAGGCGAUAAGGUUAAUAACCUUGUCGAUUGACGUUACCCGCAGAAGAAGCACCGGCUAACUCCGUGCCAGCAGCCGCGGUAAUACGGAGGGUGCAAGCGUUAAUCGGAAUCACUGGGCGUAAAGCGCACGCAGGCGGUCUGUCAAGUCGGAUGUGAAAUCCCCGGGCUCAACCUGGGAACUGCAUUCGAAACGGGCAGGCUAGAGUCUUGUAGAGGGGGGUAGAAUUCCAGGUGUAGCGGUGAAAUGCGUAGAGAUCAGGAGGAAUACCGGUGGCGAAGGCGGCCCCCUGGACAAAGACUGACGCUCAGGUGCGAAAGCGUGGGGAGCAAACAGG
RNAcentral lists this ribosomal RNA (429 nucleotides) under Chloroflexota bacterium. RNAcentral's name for it is "Chloroflexi bacterium partial 16S ribosomal RNA". It matches the Rfam family "Bacterial small subunit ribosomal RNA", at positions 355 to 776 of the family's 1533-position model. Lineage: Bacteria; Bacillati; Chloroflexota. The record is from RNAcentral.